GGCGAUAUGGCGGAAUUGGUAGACGCGUCGGAUUCAAAAUCCGAUUCUCGCAAGGGAGUGAAGGUUCGAUUCCUUUCACCGGCA
This 84-nucleotide transfer RNA is filed under the name bacterium. RNAcentral's name for it is "tRNA-Leu". It matches the Rfam family "tRNA". Rfam says of the family: Transfer RNA (tRNA) molecules are approximately 80 nucleotides in length. The record is from RNAcentral.